AUGAACGCUGGCGGCGUGUCUAAGGCAUGCAAGUCGAAUGCCCUUUCUGUAAGGACAGAUUUAAAAUCUGUCCUUACAGAAAGGGCAUGGCAGACGGGUGAGUAACGCAUUGGUAACCUACCUCUAACUCGGGCAUAACUCGGAGAAAUCCGGGAUAAUACCUGAUAGUCAUGGGGGGAUAAAAAUCAUUCCCAUGUAAAACUCCGGUGGUUAGAGAGGGGCCUAUGUCCCAUCAGCUGGUUGGUAAGGUAACGGCUUACCAAGGCAAUGACGGGUAGCGGGUGUGAGAGCAUGACCCGCCUCACUGGGACUGAAAUACUGCCCAGACUCCUACGGGAGGCUGCAGUCAAGAAUAUUCCGCAAUGGCCGAAAGGCUGACGGAGCGACGCCGCGUGUAGGAAGACGCUCUUCGGGGUGUAAACUACUUUUCUCAGGGACGAAUUCGUGACGGUACCUGAGGAAUAAGCCACUGCUAACCUCGU
This 482-nucleotide ribosomal RNA is filed under the name uncultured bacterium. RNAcentral describes it as "bacterial SSU rRNA". It matches the Rfam family "Bacterial small subunit ribosomal RNA", at positions 29 to 506 of the family's 1533-position model. The record is from RNAcentral.